AAAAAAGUCAUUUUAUUUCACUCAGGUUUGAUAUCAGCCGUUCAUUCAUAUCAAUUUCAUUCAUUCUUUCAUUCAAUGGAUUUAUUAAAUUAGUGAAACGGUUUUCAGUUUCAAAACUGUAUACCCUUUCACCUUACCUUCUUCCUUUUCUCCUUCUCUCAGCCGUUUCUAGGUUUCAAGUCGUUUAAAACCUUUUCUCAGACACACUGCUUUUCCGUGUCUGCCUCUGAUUUCAGCACCUCCUCGACACCCUCCCUCGCCCUUCCCCGUGCCCUUAACCUAGCAGCGCCGCUGCUCACAUGAGAGAGAGAGAGAGAGAGAAUUGAACACGAACACGAUGGUGUCUCUGCGGUUCGGGGCGGUGAACACGAUGGAGAUUGGGGAGCUCUGAUCUUCAAUCAGUUUCACCACCAUAUCUCUCCAUCUGCGAGCGACUACAAGGGAAUUUGCUUUAGCAAUACUGAGAGGCUUGGCUUGGAGGGUUUACCUGUUGUCAUCUCUUUUUGGUCUUCUCGCACAGCAAAAUGUUGAUGUGGCUGCUGAAAAGCUCAGGGCUCGGGAAAAGGGAAUUUAAGUCUUGGUGGAUGUUUGCCAUGUUUUUAUUGCUCAACAAAAGGAAGAUUUUGAUUAAAAGGGCUGUUUUGUGAGAAGGUGGAAGAUUGAAAGAGAAGGAAAGGGGACAGAGUGUUUGUUGAGAGGCGUUCAUCAAAAUCCUCAUCUUCAACACCGGAAAAUGACAUGCUAGAUUACCUUUUCUCUAGAUAGUUAGGUUGGGAACUUGGGAUUCUAUAUCUGGAGAAGACCAUUCUAUUUCACUGGAGGGGAAAGUUUUUUUCAAGCCUUGGCGCUACCUUUGAUCUUGAUAUAACUCAGGGAUAAGCAUUAAGUCCCUUGCAAAAGUAGUUGGAUAAUAGAAAUACUUAUGUGCUUUCAUCCAACAGUAGAAGGGUAACGGUAAACAUAUUUUUGUCAAAAGUACUGUGACAUUUCGUUGACCUAACUAUCUUUUUAGAUGUACAGUUGCAAAAUGCAUUUGAAGCUGUAAUGUAGAUGUGAUGAUGAAUACUACCACUAAUAGAAGAAUUGGAGUGAAGUCAUUGUUGAGUUCCUAUAGGAGUACUGAUGUAUUAUAGGAAAGGAAGAUAUGAUACUAGCGCAUUUGAUUGUGCUUUAUAGUGAAUAUGAAGUAAAAAGAUGGAAGACUUUUACACUAGCAUUUCUAUAUCUGACUUUUACACUA
This is a long non-coding RNA of Lotus japonicus, 1240 nucleotides long. RefSeq lists it as uncharacterized. The record is from RefSeq and is a predicted model, not a curated record. The transcript has 6 exons. NCBI's taxonomy places the organism in Eukaryota, Viridiplantae, Streptophyta, Magnoliopsida, Fabales, Fabaceae.